RNAcentral lists this ribosomal RNA (253 nucleotides) under uncultured bacterium. RNAcentral describes it as "partial 16S ribosomal RNA". It matches the Rfam family "Bacterial small subunit ribosomal RNA", at positions 524 to 776 of the family's 1533-position model. The record is from RNAcentral.
UACGGAGGGUGCAAGCGUUAUCCGGAUUCACUGGGUUUAAAGGGUGCGUAGGUGGGCAGUUAAGUCAGUGGUGAAAUCUCCGGGCUCAACCCGGAAACUGCCAUUGAUACUAUCUGUCUUGAAUAUCGUGGAGGUAAGCGGAAUAUGUCAUGUAGCGGUGAAAUGCUUAGAUAUGACAUGGAACACCAAUUGCGAAGGCAGCUUACUACCCGAAUAUUGACACUGAGGCACGAAAGCGUGGGGAUCAAACAGG